Molecule: long non-coding RNA, 615 nt
Organism: Pogoniulus pusillus (Red-fronted tinkerbird)
Lineage: Eukaryota; Metazoa; Chordata; Aves; Piciformes; Lybiidae
Exons: 4
Source: RefSeq, a predicted model, not a curated record
AUAAGUGGAUCCAAGUACAUUCAAUGUGGUUCGUUUGGCCUUGAUAUCAGUGUAGCACAGAUUCAAAAGUUAUCAGAAGUGAGGCCUUGCAUGAGAGGUGAGAAAAUCAUUCAAGAGCAGAAAUCUAAAUCCCAUCAUGGUUACCAGAAUCCCUCUGCCUUCUGAGAAGUACUAAGGGAGUCGUAGGUGACAAAUGAUUGAUUUGACAUGCUUAAUCUUUUCCUUGUGCAUAGAUAUGCAUGAGCAUGUUGCAGUUUUCCCACACCAACCCACUGAUUGCGGAAAGUCCACCUACCACAGGUCCACAGACACAAGGCUUGUUCCAGACAAGAUAACAGAACAGAAACCCUCUGCAAGAUGAUCAACAAAGGACCAAAAGCCAUCUUUGGAAAUCACAAAAGCUUCCAGCAUCGAUGGUGUCCAGACAUCAAGGAGUUCUUUACGUUUAUGAACCCACUGCCUGGAGUUACAGACAUGCUGGUGGCUUGUGAGAGGCUGAGAACGAGACAAUGUGACAAACCUGUGCUACUCAAUCAUUAGCAAGUAAGUGGUGGUGAAAAAGAUGUACAGUUAAGAGCGUCAGGUAAGCCUCUAGGCAGAAUAUUAGUGUCAAAC